GAGCAUUUGAACUUCAGACCUCCUACCAGGGCAAGAGGAGUUAUUGCAACUAAGGUAUGUGUAAAGCCACAAAAAAAAAAAAAAAACUGCUUUAUAAUAUAACAUAAUUGGGCUUAUUAAUAGCAUUUGUUUCUGUAUGGUAAGGAUAGACAUGUAUCCACAGUUGAAAAUUCGUUAAUGGUACAUUUUCCUAUAUAUAUGUAUUGGUCCAUCAGGUAAUAAUAAAACAAAGAGACGGGGCACAAAGGAUUGUCUUACAUAGCAUUCUGAUACAUAAUUACUAAUUUAAUCACAUACAUAUCAAUUAGAUCAACAAAUGAAUCAACAACAGCCCUCUUAUCUUGAACUCUAAAACUCUCUUUUGGUAUUCCUAUACAAAUGAAAUUGCAAAAACAGAUUGAUCUACAUUAUUUGAAAAAAUCUAUAAAGUUCAUAACGAACUUAAAAUCAUUGUGCAUAAUCAAAAUGACUAGUAUUGUAGACACCGAUUUUGCCGGGCUCUACUGUUUUAAUAAUUAAUAAUAAUAUUUUUAAUAAAAAAAUUAAUUAAUGAACAAACAAAAAAAAAAACAAACAAAAAGAAACAGAAUAAGACAAGAAAUCAGGGAGUUGGUAUGGCGGCCGCUGUCGCUAGCCUCCCGACCAAACCUACCCCGACCAGCCACCCUACAGCCACCAACCCAACUAUAAGGAAUUUAAAAAUGAAAAUAAGAAAUAACAAGAAAUUUGUAAAAAAAUUAGGAAAAGAAUAAAAAAUGAAAAGAUUUAUGAAAAAAAAAUCGAAGUAUAAAAAAAAAUGGAAACAAGAAAUAAAAAGAAUUUUGUGAAAAUAAAAAUAAAAUAAGAAAAAAAUAUUAAAGCAAAACAAAAAAGAUAAAUAAAAUACAAAAAAAUAUAAAAUAUAAAAUAAACAAAAAUGCGAUAAAAAAUAUAAGAAGUAAGAAAAUCAAAAAUAAAAAAAGAGAAAAAUGAAAUGAAAUGAAAAAAUACAAAAAAAAAACAAAAAAUUGAAAAACAUACAAAAAUAAUAAGAAAACAAUAUAAAAAAUCAAAGACAAAAAAUUAAAAAUGAGAAAAGUUAAUGCAAAAUAAAAAUGAAAACAAAAGAAGAAAAUGCAACAAAAAAAAAACUAUAAGAAUUUAAAAAUGAAAAUAAGAAAUAAAAAGAAAUUUGUAAAAGAAUUAGGAAAAGAAUAAAAAUGAAAAGAUUUAUGAAAAAAAAGCCAAGUAUAAAAAAAAUGGAAACAAGAAAUAAAAAGAAUUUUGUGAAAAAAAUUAGAAAAACAAGAAAAAAUGAAAAAUUGAAGAGGCAAAAAUAUGAAAUUAAAUAAAAAGAUGAAAAAGUUUUCUAGAAAUUUUUAAAACAAAGAAAAAUGUGAAAGCAAAAAAAAAUAUGAAGCACAUGAAAAGAUAAGUAAAAAAUGAAAAGGAAAAAGAGUUAAUGAAAAAUUAUAAAAAUAAACAAAAAAUAACCAACAACGAUAAAUAAAAAAAGAAAACAUGAAAAAGUUAUGAAAACAUGAAUAAAAAUUAUGAAAAUAAAAAUAAAAUAAGAAAAAAUAAUUAAAGCAAAACAAAAAAGAAUAAAUACAAAAAAAAUAUAUAAUAUAAAAUAAAUAAAAAUGCGAUAAAAAAUAUAAGAAGUAAGAAAAUCAAAAAUAAAAAAAAGAAGAAAAAUGAAAUGAAAUGAAAACAUACAAAAAAUAAAAAACCUAAAAAAUUGAAAAAACAAUAUAAAAUAAUAAAAACAAAUUAAAAAGAAUCAAUGCCAAAAAUAAAAAUGAAACAAAAGAAGAAAAUGCAACAACAAAAACUAUAAGAAUUUAAAAUGAAAAUAAGAUAUAAAAAGAAAUUUGUAAAAGAAUUAGGAAAGAACAAAAUGAAAAGAUUUAUGAAAAAAAAAUCCAAGUAUAAAAAAAAUGAAACAAGAAAUAAAAAGAAUUUUGUGAAAAAAAAUUAGAAAAACAAGAAAAAAUAAAAAUGAAGAGACAAAAAUAUGAAAUUAAAUAAAAGAUGAAAAGAUAAGUAAAAAAUGAAAGGGAAAAAGUUAAUGAAAAAUUAUAAAAAUAAAACAAAAAAUAACCAACAACGAUAAAUAAAAAAAAUAAAAAAAUAAAAAAAUAAAAAACAUGAUAAAAAUUUAUGAAAAUAAAAAUAAAAUAAGAAAAAAAUAUUAAAGCAAAACAAAAAAGAUAAAUAAAAUACAAAAAAUAUAUAUAAUAUAAAAUAAACAAAAAUGCGAAUAAAAAAUAUAAGAAGUAAGAAAAUCAAAAAUAAAAAAAAAAAACAGAAAUGAAAUGAAAUGAAAAAAUACAAAAAAAAACAAAAAAUUGAAAAACAUACAAAAAAUAAUAUAAAAAAUCAAAGACAAAAUUAAAAAUGAGAAAAGUUAAUGCAAAUAAAAAAUGAAAACAAAAGAAGAAAAUGCAACAACAAAAAACUAUAAGAAUUUAAAAAUUAAAAUAAGAAAUAAAAGAAAUUUGUAAAAGAAUUAGGAAAAGAAUAAAAAUGAAAAGAUUUAUGAAAAAAAAAUCCAAGUAUAAAAAAAAAUGGAAACAAGAAAUAAAAAAAAUUUUGUGAAAAAAAUUAGAAAACAAGAAAAAAUAAAAAAUGAAGAGACAAAAAUAUGAAAUUAAAUAAAAGAUGAAAAAGUUUUCUAAAAAUUUUUAAAACAAAGAAAAAUGUGAAAACAAAAAAAAAUAUGAAAGCACAUGAAAAGAUAAGUAAAAAAAUGAAAAGGGAAAAAGAGUUAAUGAAAAAUUAUAAAAAUAAAACAAAAAUAAACAACAACGAUAAAUAAAAAAAGAAAAGAAAAAAAUAAAAAAAUAAAAAAAUAAAAACAUGAUAAAAAUUUAUGAAAUAAAAAUAAAAUAAGAAAAAAAUAUUAAAGCAAAACAAAAAGAUAAAUAAAUACAAAAAAAUAUAAAAUAUUAAAAUAAACAAAAAUGCGAUAAAAAUAUAAGAAGUAAGAAAUCAAAAAUAAAAAAAAGACAAAAUGAAAUGAAAUGAAAAAAUACAAAAAAAAUACAAAAAUUGAAAAAAUACAAAAAUAAUAAAAAAACAAUAUAAAAAUCAAAGACAAAAUUAAAAAUGAGAAAAAGUUAAUACAAAUUAAAAAUUGAAACAAAAGAAGAAAAUGCAACAACAAAAACUAUAAGAAUUUAAAAAUGAAAUAAGAAAUAAAAGAAAUUUGUUAAAAGAAUUAAGAGAAGAAUAAAAUGAAAAGAAUUUAUGAAAAAAAAUCCAAAGAAGUAUAAAAAAAAUGGAAACAAGAAAUAAAAAGAAUUUUGUGAAAAAAUUAAAAAAACAAGAAAAAUAAAAAAUGAAGAGGCAAAAUAUGAAACAAAAUAUAAAAGAAAAAAGUUUAUGAGAUAUUUUUAAAACAAAGAAAAAUGUGGAACCAAAAAAAAUACUGAAAGCACAUGAAAAGAUAAGUAAAAUGAAAAAUUUUAAUAAUGGAAAAAAAGAAGAAAGAAAAGCAAGUUAAUGAAAAAUAUAAAAUAAAAGAAAAAAUAACCAACAACGAUAAAUAAAAAAAGAUAGAAAAAUAAAAAAAACAUGAUAAAAUUAUUAAAAUCAUAAAUAGAAAAAAGAAAAAAACAAAAUAAAUAAAGAAAAAAUAAUUAAAGCAAAACAAAAGAUAAAAAAUACAAAAAAAUAUAAUAUAAAUAAACAAAAUACGAUAAAAUAUAAGAAGUAAGAAAAUCAAAAUAAAAAAUAAAAAAAGAAAGAAGUGAAAUGAAAUGAGAAAAUAUAAAAAAAAUACAAAAAUUGAAAAACAUAUAAAAAUAUAAGAAAACAAUAUAAAAUCAAAGCAAAAAUUAAAAAUGAAAACAAAGAAGAAAAUGCAACAAAAAAAAACUAUAAGAAUUUAAAAAUGAAAACAAGAAAUAAAAAGAAAUUUGUAAAAGAAUUAAGAAAAGAAUAAAAAUGAAAGACAAAUUUAUGAAAAAAAAUCCUAGGAAGUAUAAAAAUAAUGGAAACAAGAAAUAAAAAGAAUUUUGUGAAAAAAAUUAGAAACACAAGAAAAAUAAAAAAUGAAAAGGCAAAAAUAUGAAACAAAAUAAAAGAUAAAAUAGUUUUUAUAGAAAUUUUUAAAACAAAGAAAAAUGUGAAAACAAAAAAAAUAUGAAAACACAUGAAGAUAAGUAAAAAAGUGAAAAAUUUAAAAGAAAAAGGAAAAAUGUUAAUGAAAAAUUACAAAAAUAACAAAUAACAACGAUAAAUAAAAAAAGAUAGAAAAAUAAAAAAAUAAAAACAUGAUAAAAAUUUAUGAAAAUAUAAAUAAAGAAAGAGAUAAAAAAUAAAAAUAAAUAAGAAAGAAAUAUUAAAGCAAAACAAAAAAGAUAAAUAAAAUACAAAAAAUAUAAAAUAUAAACAACAAAAAAUGCGAUAAAAAAUAUAAGAAGUAAGAAAAUCAAAAAUUAAAAAUUAAAAAAGACAAAUGAAAUGAAAUUGAAAAAAUAGAAAAAAAAUAAAAAAAAUUGAAAAACAUAUAAAACAUAAUAAGAAAACAAUAUAAAAAAUCUAAGCCAAAAAAACUAAAAAUGAAAACAAAAGAAGAAAAUGCAACAAAAAAAACUAUUAUUUAUUUAAAAAUGAAAAUAUGAAUAAAAAGAAAUUUGUAAAAGAAUUAAGAAAAGGAAUAAAAAUGAAAAGACAGAUUUAUGAAAAAAAAAAUCCUAGGAAGUAUAAAAAAAAAUAGAAACAAGAAAUAAAAAGAAUUUUGUGAAAAAUUAUUAAAAAAACAAGAAAAAAAUAAAAAAGCAAAAAAGCAAAAAUAUAUGAAACAAGAAAAAAUAAAAAAUGAAUAGACAAAAAUAUGAAACACAAAUAAAAGAUAAAAAAGUUUUGUAGAAAUUUUUAAAACAAAAGAAAAAAUGUGAAAACAAAAAAAAAUAUAUGAAAGCACAUUAAAGAUAAGUAAAAAAAUAAAAAAUUUUAAAAGAAAAAAAGAAAAAAGUUAAUGAAAAAUUAUAAAAAUAAAAUUGAAAAACCAACAACGAUAAAAAAAAUAAAAAAAAAGAAAAAGAUAGAAAAAUAAAUAAAUAAAAAACAUGUUAAAAAUUUAUGAAAAUAUAAAUAAAGAAAGAAAUAAAAAAUAAACCAAAUAAAAAAAAAAUAAAAAAAAAAUAUUAAAGCAAAGCCAAAAAAGAUAGAUAAAAUACAAUAAAAUAUAAAUAUAAAAUAAACAAAAAUGCAAUAAAAAUAUAAGAAGUAAGAAAAUCAAAAAUAAAAAAUAAAAUGAAAUGAAAUGAGAAAAUACAAAAAAAUACAAAAAAAAUGAAAAACAUAAAUAAUAAGAAACAAUAUAAAAAUCAAAGACAAAAAUUAAAAAUGAGAAAAGUUAAUGCAAAAUAAAAAUUAAAACAAAAGAAGAAAUGAAAUAAAAAAACUAUAAGAAUUUAAAAUGAAUAUAAGAAUAAAAAGAAAUUUGUUAGAUAAAAAGAAAAGAAUAAAAUGAAAAGACAAGAUUUAUGAGAAAAAAAAUCCAAAGAAGUAUAAAAAAAUGAAAACAAGAAAUAAAAAGAAUUUUGUGAAAAAAUUAGAAAAACAAGAAAAAUAAAAAAUGAAAAGGCAAAAUAUGAAAUAAAAUAAAAAGAUAAACAGUUUUGUAGAAAUUUUUAAAACAAAGAAAAAUGUGAAAACAAAAAAAAUAUAAACACAUGAAAAGAUAAGUAAAAAAUGAAAAAUUUAAAAGGGAAAAAGGAAAAAGAGUUAAUGAAAAAUUAUAAAAAUAAAACGAAAAAUAAACCAACAAUGAUAAAUAAAAAAAAAUAGAAAGAUAAAAAAAAUAAAAAACAUGAUAAAAAUUAUGAAAAUAUAAAUAAAGAAAGAAAUAACAAUAAAAAUAAAAUAAAAUAAGAAAAAAAUAUUAAAGCAAAACAAAAAAAUAAAUAAAGACAAAAAUAUAAAAUAUAAAUAAAGAAAAUGCGAUAAAAAUAUAAGAAAAUCAAAAAUACAAAAAUACAAAAUGAAAUGAAAUGAAAAAAUAAAAAAAUACAAAAAUUAAAAAACAUAUAAAAAAAUAAUAUAAAAAAUCAAAGACAAAAAAAUAAAUAAGAGAAAAGUUAAUGCCAAAUAAAAAUGAAACAAAAGAAGAAAAUGCAACAAAAAAAAAUUAUAAGAAUUUAAAAAUGAAAAUAAGAAAUAAAAAAAAUUUGUAAAAAGAUUAAGAAAGGAAUAAAAAUAAAAAGAAAAGAUUUAUGAAAAAUAAAAAAUUCAAGAAAGUGUAAAAAAAAAUGGAAACAAGAAAUAAAAAAACUGUCAAAAAAUUAGAAAAACAAGAAAAAAUAAAAAAUGAAGAGGCAAAAAAUAUGAAAUAAAAUAAAAAGAAAGUUUUGUAAAAAUUUUAAAACAAAGAAAAAAGUGAAAACAAAAAAAAUGAAAGCACAAAAAAAUAAGUAAAAAAAAAUUUUAAAAGAAAAAAGUUAAUGAAAAACAAAAAAGAUAAAACAAAAUACAAUAAAAAUAUAAAAAUCAAAAAAUCAAAAAUAAAAAAAUAUAUAUUAAAUAAAUAAUUAUAUUAUCUCUUAAUAAAAGAUAAAUAUUAUACAAUCCAAAAUAAUAAAUAAAAUAAUAAGCAAUAAAAAAAUAAUCGAAAUUGUAUUAAAUAAAAAAUAAUAUUAUCUAAUAUAAUUUUUGUUAAUUACAUAAAUUACACGAUAAAUAAAAAUAAAUUUCCAAGAUAAAAUACAAAAGAAUCUUAAUUAGAUAUCUAAUUAGUAUACAUACACAUAAACACCUUCAUUUUUAAUGAAGUCAAAGUCUCAUUCAACAAUGCUUAAUAAUAAGGUGAUCUGCAUUUUAAGUUAAACAUAAACAACAUGCCACAUAUAUAUAAAGAACAAUGCUGCAUUUAAGUUAAACACAAGCAACAUGGCACAUGUAUAAAGAACAAUGCUAUUUUAGAAAUAAAGACAAUUAAAACUUGAACUUCAUGCUCAAGCAAGGCAAAGAUUGCCUGCAAAAUAAACCUAAUAACAUCCAUUGCUCACAAAUCAGAUAUUAUAAAUGUUUUAACUCGGAAACCCAAAGAUACGAAAGUAAAAGGGCCUUUAAAAACCUAAAGAGAAAUUAAAACUAAAGCAACAAACCUUAACAAAAAAAGAUUAUAAUGAAAGGCCAAAGAUAAGAGUAGUUUUGCAUCUCAACAUAAAUAUACAACAAUUAUAUACCAAAGUUAAAAAACAACAGCCACCAACACAUCAUAAGUCAGGAUGCUUCCAAUAUAAACAGUAUUACUUAAGAAAACAAAGUCUAUAUUAUAAUCAGAAACACAGAAUUUUAGCAACUUUAAUCAAACUUUCAUGAUCUGAAAUGUACUAAACAAGUACAAUUAUCAUCGAAAUUACCAUACAAUACAACAAAAAUUCUAUGCAAGAUCAUAGACUUUCAAAGAAUCCAAUAAGAAAGAGGCAAUCUUCCAUCUCAGUGCUUAACUAGAUUUAAGUUUAUGAAAUUAAUCUUAAAAAAGUAAUCAAUCAUGCAACAAAGUAAAGUGAAAUCAGCAAAACAAGAAGAAUCAAACACAACACAAAAAAAAAAGAGGUACUCUUCAUUGUAAGCACUCAUCUUCAGUGCGAGGUUGGAUUAAGUUUUUGAAAUUAAACCUAAGAUUACAAUUUGUCAUGCAACAGAGUUGAACUAGCAAAAUAAAAAAAUAAAAAAUAGAAAACUCAACCAUACAAAUUUGGAGUACACUGCUGAUACAAUCUCUAAUUCCUCUCUCUAGCAAAUCGUGUUCGAAGUACACGAUCAACUAAUUCCGUAUAGACUACUAAAUGCAAUCACAAUUAAGAAAAGUUUACAAAACUACAAUCUGUACACAAAAGAUGAAAACUAAAAUUUAAUGAAUGUUAAAGAUAAGAGAUCAACAUAUAAUUGAUAGUUCAAAUCAAACUCCGGCAAAUCACAAGCCUACAACCAAAAAAUUAGAAUUAACCAGAAGCUAUGGGAAUGAAAAUCUAAAAGCCAACUUGCAAAAUAAACCCAACAAAACACACAGGAAUAAAACCAACCAAACACACCAGGACAUCAGAAAUUUGAAACUUUAAUUCCUCUAUCCUGCAAGGUAUGCUUAGAGCACAAUAGCCCAUUAAGCGUUCAAAGAACAAACAAAUGACAACUAGGGCACAUCAAUGGAUGAAGAACCAACAACCCAGGAAUUUCUUGACAGUAACAUUCUCCUAAUGCAUUCGUCAAACAACUUCAUCAACGAUUAGAGGCAACCACAAUAAAAAGUUUGACAAUCAUCACAUAACUAAAAAAAGCCAAGCCAGUGAAACCACAUAAAAAGUUUUUUCUCUCUGUCAUGCCACAGAGAGAAAAACAAGAAGGAAAACUCCCAUACACACAGAGCCACACAUUUUAAUCCUUAAAUCCUACACACAACCAUACAAAUUUAGAAUCCAUAAUUCCCCUGCAAGUCAUUCUUGGACGACACAACGCAUCAAGUUUCAAACAGACCAUCACAUCACAACCCAAGGGAAUUUUUCAAAGUAAAGUUACAAAGCCCUAAUUUAUGUAAAAGUUUAAAAAUGAAACAAGAAGAAUCAAGACACAAUCUCAAUGAGAAAGACAUCAAACUGAGAGCCUAUGACAACAUAUAUUUAGAAUUUCAAAGAAUCCAGCAAAAAGAAAUAAUCUUCCUUUUAAGCAUUCAACCACAAUGCAUGUCAAAAUUAAAUUACAGAAAUUGAACCUAGCAAACCAAUCUGCCUUGUAACAAAUAGAGUGAAACAACAAAAUAAAAACCUCCCUAAACACGUACCUACACACACAAGAGGCACAGAAAUUGAAUUCGCUGCUUGAAGCACACAUGGAGAAAACAAACUCCCAUACACAGCCACAUAAAUUUUUAAUUCUUAAAUGCAACACCAUAGAAAUUUAAUGCCUUAAUUCUCCCUACACUACAAAACACAGAAUUCAAUACACUAUUUAGACUUUCAAAGAUCCAUCAAAGGAAAGAUCCUCUUGUAAACAUUUCCAUCAAUGCAUGUCAAAAUUAAGUUUACAAAAAUGUAACUAAUUCAACACCUGUUCUUAACAACAUCAUGCUUCAUUAAUUCUUAAUAAUACCGUCAUGACUAACCACCAAUGACAUGAAGAACAUUGAACUGACACAGUAAUAAACCAUCCAAUACGCAACAGAAUUUUGUGUUUUCAUCCCAAUGCUUAUAGAAUAUAAAUAGAUGCAAACUACAAGAAGAGGGGACAGCAGAAAAACACAGUCCAAUCCCUAAACAUUGAGAAUCAUUCUUACCCCUAUGCUCCUUACCACCAUAAACUCACAGCCAUCAACAAUCUAUUCCACUUUUAUUGAGGCUAGAAUUCUUCAAAGAUAAUGCCUGCAUAUCCUAUUACAAAAAGCAAUGCCAUAGAAAUAUGCAUUAUGAAAUUAGAUCAAAUUAAGAAAGGCUUCUGUGGAUAAUACAAGAAUAUACAAAAUAUUGGCCAAAGAUGAAAAAAUGAUUACAACCUACAAAGAAAGGAUUGCACAAGAAAUUAAAGAUAAACCUGGAUGUUGGUAACCCAUGAUAGGUUAAUUGCCACAGUCCCUGUUAAAGCUGCUGUGAAAACACCAAUAGUUUUCAACAAAUUAGUCUUUGGCUGGUAAGUAACUUCGAAAUCUAACGAGCUAGCUUCAUCAACUCAACAUAAAGGAUCACAAGGUCCAGAGGUUGAGGUCAGCUCCUGUUGAUAUGCAAAGGUUAUUUCAGUGUGUGGAAGAACCCAAAAAUGAAGAAACACAGACACUGCCGUUUUGCUAUGAUGGUUGGUUUUUAUAGCAAUUUGGAGAAAGCUUUCUAAACAGCCUUUUGUAUAAUCUUCCCUCAUAAAGAGGAUCAUUACUCAGCCUCAAUCCUGCCAAUGAAGGAUGAGAAACCAAGAAGAGUCAUUUGAAAAAUGUUCCUAGCCUUUAGGAUUCAGCAUUUUUUACACAAUGAGGCUACUUUCAGGACUUGAACUUGCUCAUUUGAGCCCCUCAGCCAAAAUCUUUUAUAUUACACCAGACAGUGUCUCCUAAUCAACCCUCAUAUAUCUAACUAAAUCAAUCUGAUUUCUGAGCUAAACAUCUGCAGAAGGUAAUUUCCAAUAGCAACAGCUUGAAAUUCUAUCAAAUUAUUUGACCUCCUCAUUAACCAAGAUAAAAUCUUCAAAUGUAUGAACUAGCAGUACAGGCAAAUGGGUACCCUUAAACUGGAAGUACUUAUAAGCAAGACAAUAGAUGACAAGAGACACAAAAUGAAAUCAAAAAACACUCACCCAAAUCAUAAAUCAAUGAAAAUGCAAAUGGGUACUCGUAAAGAUAAAAUUUUUCAUAAUGGCAUAGGGAUGAAAAGAACAAAAACCUCAAGCUGCUUUUCAUUGUUGGGUUGAACUUUUUGUUGCCGUGCAAUAACUUUCGUUACGGGGUUUACCUAGACUCAUAAUUGUUGUUAUAUUAUUACAUUAUAAUAUAAAUCAAAUUAAGAAUUUUUUUUAUUGAAAGAAAAAAAGAACAAUACUAAUUUUUUUACUUGAGAUACUAUAACUAAUUCAAGGUAUGGAUCCAAUCUAUAACUAAAGUUAUAAAGGGGAUACACUCAUUCUUUUUGGUUUCUAACCUUUGGUGACAUGGCUAACCAGUAAGGCGGGGAUUGCAAAUCCCUUAUUCCCCGGUUCAAAUCAAGUUGUUGCUUGAUCAACAAAAAACUUGGAACCCUAUAUUCUGCUUUGCUCAUAUGACUCAAAAAUUUUUCUCUACCAAAAACAAGUGCAAGAAAAGGACUCUUGAUACUUUCUUGACUAUAAACUUAGCAAGGUUUUGUCUUCAAAAAUGUUGUAAAUCCUUACGUCUAGGAUUCAAGGAAAAGUUAGAGUAGGAGAGGGGAAUCAGAAAUCUUGAUAUGAUAUCCCCUCUCCUAUUAAUGGAAGGGCUGCUAAAAGAGUCUUCAAUUAGAUUGGAUAUCAUAAUGGGAGUGUCUAAUUAUUAACAAAUGAAUAGUUGUACAAGGGUAAGUAAUGAACAACAGUUACCUUUAGGAAGUCUUUCAUGCUUUGAAAGCAAGGUUCAGACAACACAUCAUUGCAACAUAUAUGUAUGCAAUAAUCCCACAUUCCCCAAAAGACAAAGGGAAAAGGAGGGAGGCAAAGAGGAAUCUAACCCAAAAGGAAGCAUCACAUGCAUGUGUUCAUCAACAAUAGGUGACAGACGCUAAAAGCACCCAGACAAGUAGACAACAGAGCUUGCAUAGCAUUUUACACGUACAGCCCACAACCAAACAGAAUAAGUCUAUUGCAAAUCAUUGAAAAGGCUGCAGAUCCUAACAAAAAUGUUCACCUAAUGGCUCCAGCUGCUACUUUGUGAAAAUAAGCAUGUGAAUGCAACCAAUCUUUAAAUUUUAGCUUUCCAACAUAUGCACGUGGUGCCAUUUUCCGCAAACAAUAAGAAUGGAAAUCAAAUUGAUCUUCAGUAAUAUCAGCAUAGUGCUUCUCCACAGCUAUAAAUUUCUCCAGGGCCCGUCCAAAAUCACCAUGUCGAAAGUAACUUUCAUCAGAAGCAAGUUCAUACCUUCAAAAGAUGGAUAACACUCAGUAGGUGUACCCAAAUUAUAAUUAGAGACAACAACAUGUGGAAGGUAAUAAACAAAAACAGACCACAUGCACUGCAUGUCAUGAAGGUUGUUGUGCUGGCCCCCAUCUUUCGUGAACAAAACAGCAGUUUUUCCUGCCAAAGCCACCUUCAAAAGUAGAAAAAGCUUGUGAACAGUACAAUAAUACCGAAAGAAAUUUAGUGACAAAUAUUAACUAUGACAAAAGAUGAAGUGGGGAAGCCUUAGAACCUGAUCAGACUGCAACAUUCGCUUCACAGAUUAACUGUUUACAUAGCGAUCUGCAAGAUCCAUACACCUAGCUUCAUCUGUCAAUGAAGCCACAGCUACCAAAUCACCAACAUGUUUCAGUAUCCGACUCUGUCACCAAAGAGAAGUAAAUAAUAUACACAUAGACCCAGCUUCAAGAAAAUUCCAAGAACUUCUCCAAAAGAUCAAGAAACAAUAGCCAGUCAAACUAAAAAACACCAGUCAAACUAAUACAAAAAAAAAAAAAAAUCUCACCUGGAUAUAAAGGCUAGAAGAGGCUUAAUGCAAUCAAUUGCCGCUUUACGAAAUUUGUUUCCUUGCAGUAAAUCAAGUGGUAUCCUCUAAAAAUUGAGAAAACAAAGUUUUAAUAUAAGUCCUAGAACAUUCAUCACACAUCAUAAAGGAAGUAGCAUUUAUUGGCAAUAAUGAUGCACAUUGUAACAGCAAUAAUUACAAUUCUCAUGAAUGAAUACAUAACAAAUGUGGGUUACAGGAAGAAAACAAUUUAAAUACAUCCUCACUGCAUGAGUCAAAUUCCAAAAGCUCUAGAGUUUGACACUUUAUUUCAAUCAUGCCAUAACCUGGCCCAUCGUCAAAAGGUUUUUAUAUAGGAAAGUCAGUUUAACUAAAAGAAUGAGAUAAAGAUAGCCACUAAUAAAAGAAUUAGCCACCAUGUCAACUCUCUAGGGGUGAAGCAUAUGAAAGCAUAAUUUUAACCACCUAGAGUUCUUACUAUUGUCACAUCAAGACAUCAAUGAAGUAUUUCAGCAUAAUACCACAACUAUCUAUUUCUAGAUUAUUUAAGAAUAUCACAAGCCAUCGAAUGGACUGUGUCUAUUGUAGAACCACAUCACUAGAUUUUUGUCACAUAAUUUCUUAUCAAGCCAUCAAGAAAAACAAGAUCCCUACAAGAGUAUUUGUAAAAAUAGCCGCCCCUCCUCUCUCUAGAAAAGGGGAGAAAGCUUGAUAGCUCUACAAAAAAAGUAAGGUUUUCGUUGGAUUUGCAUCAUGUGAUUCUAUAAAUAAGAGAGAGAAGAAAUCCAGAGUAAAUAUAAUGAACAGAACAUCCCAAGGUACCAUUUGGAGCUUAUUAAAAAAAAAUACCAAACAGAAAAUCAAAUUAAUAUGACUAACAGCUAAGACAUAAUAAAACAGCUUACACUAGCAAUAUCAUUAUCUACAGUCUAUAACGAGAACACAUUUUAUCAUCAGAAAAAAAUAGAAAAAAAUCAAAUCGGGCAUUAUUUGAAGUAAAAAAUUUAAAUAAAAUUAAGAUGGUAGAAAUCAAACCUUCAUAAGGUCUCCAAAUUCCUCACACAUUCCAAUUUGUCCUCCACCAACUAAUUCUCUACUUAACAGCCUCAAGUUUCUUGGUCUGCUCCAAGGUAUAUAACAUUUCUGCAACUGCCACUAUAUGCAUCAAAGAUUCUGCAGAACCAAAAAGUGAAAUUUGCAUGAUUAUACAACCUACCUCAAGGAACCUAAAAUGCAUCAUGUUAUGUAAAGGUCGUAAUACCUUCAUGUUUACCAAGGAAAACUUUGUUCGCCUCACUAAGAGUUUUCUCCUGCAAUUGACUGCAGAAAGAGAAAAUAAAGGGAUUUAAUGCAUCAGGGAUCAAAAUAAUAAUAGUAACAGUAACACAACAAAAUUCUAGUAGGGGAAUAGCUAUCAUAAAACCAUUUCAAAGAGAACCUGAUGGAUGGACGCUCAGCUUCUAAGACACUCCAAACAAGUUUUUCAGCAUCAGUUAAUGGAGCAGGCAUUGAGCCCAAUUUAUGGAAAAAUUUAAUCUGCAUUAGAUUAAAUUCAAAUAAGCAUUGUAAAGAUUACAUGAUCUUUGUAUCUAAGAACAGAAAAGAAUGCAGUUGUGCAUGGCAGUGCACAAAUAUGGUAGGGCAGAUGUUACAUGAAUCUGGAUUCUCAGCAUCCAGCCUUAGCAGUUGCUUUACAGCCUUCGCAGUUGCUUUACAGCCUUCAGGAAAACAAAAUAAAACCAAGACAAACGUACUAAUAUGAGCUCAUGAAAUAGUAAAAGUACUACUGCACAAAACCAUUGUUCUACAACUCAAAGAUAUGUCGUGCAAACUAUCUAAUUCACACAUAAAUUCAUUGAGUGAGUAGAGCAAUAAGAAAAGGAUGUUUGGUUAAACGGUACAGUUUCUUUAUUUCAAGAACAUAUCCACAGGCAGAAAGUGAAAAAAGAGAGGAGAAAACAAGAGAAGGGGCUUCCUCACAAAUCACUAGCUGACAAUUAAAUAUCAGUUCUAGUUGACCAAACACAAAAAGAACAAGAAACACAUCUCAUGUUCAAUUCUAGGAAAAUAUAAUACCUGAAAGGCAAGCAAAAUCUUCUGCUUUCUCAUAUUUACUUCAACAGAAAGUAAGUGCGUCUCCAAAGAAUCAGGUGAGUUCUUCUGAAGCAACUUCAAGUACUUCGUUGCUUCUGACAAGGGAUACUCUGUCUGAAAAAAAAAAUACAGAUUAAACAGUCUUAGCUUAAUAGGCAUUAGCGUAACACAUUUUUACAGCACGAGGACUUUAAUCAGGAAUCUAAAGCACAGGGAAAAGAUAAUAAUAGGUAACCUUCAAUAAUUUUCUCCAAAAGGAUAAGGAUCUACAGGUUUAACAUGUCGUUUCCCACACUUAGAGAUGCCACUAGAACUUGAUUCUUCAUUUUUCUCCUCUGCCUCUUAAAAUAAUACACGGCAUCAGAAUGAAAUCAUCAAAGAGAGUGUUAGCCAAGAAUCACCAAAACAAGCUGAUAUACUUUCUUAGCUCGUUCCACCUUCCUCUGCUUCUUCAUUUUCUUUUUCUGAGAAGGAGUCUUUGAUGUGUCAUCCUCUUCUUCAGCCAGUGAGUUCAAAGGAGAAUCAAACAACUUUAGAUAGCAUUUGCACUUCAAAAUCCAAUAAUUAUCACAAUGCAGAAAGAAAAGGUUCAAAAUUGAAGUAAUCACCAGUUUCAAGCCAAGAGUUUCAGAGAAAGAAACACCAACAUAGAAAUGGGACCAAUGGAUCAAUCACAAAAACUAUUACUUAAUUGUUGCAUGGCCUGUCACUAUAUCAUCCCAUUCCAUUCACCAUCAAAUCAAUAAGAUCAAUAUAAAAAGCUAUAUAAUCAACAAAUAAAUUCUGGUACUUGGUAAACAUGCAAUUCUCCAUCCUUACCCAACAGAAAUCCCAGGUGCCGCCUUCCUAUCAUUUAAAAAAGCCACAAUCUCAAAUUUCAAUAUGCCUGCAAGGAACAUUUAAUCCUUUCAGUAAUAACAUCACAAGAAUAUGAAACUUACAAAAGAUAUAACGAAAGCAAAUUGAGACUACCAAGCAAAAUUUUUAUCCUGUUUGGCAUUAUACCACAAGGUCUCGACAUAAUAUAAUAAGAAUCCCCUAAGUACAACGUAAAACACCCAUCCUAAGUAUGAAACAAGUAUAUAACCUUAUAAAAAUCAGAAACUAUAAUCUAGAAUACUUGUUAAAUUAAAUUUGACUUGAGCAUCAUUUGAACACAAAUUUUUUAAGCAGAUCCAAAUAUUUGCAUCUUCUUUUAAUAGUUAAUAAUUUGUGGGAGAGCAUUUGAACUUCAGACCUCUACCAGGGCAAGAGGAGUUAUUGCAACUAAGGUAUGUGUAAAGCCACAAAAAAAAAAAAAAAAAACUGCUUUAUAAUAUAACAUAAUUGGCUUAUUAAUAGCAUUUGUUUCUGUAUGGUAAGGAUAGACAUGUAUCCACAGUUGAAAAUUCGUUAAUGGUACAUUUUCCUAUAUAUUAUGUAUUUGGUCCAUCAGGUAUAUAAAACAAAGAGACGGGGCACAAGGAUUGUCUUACAUAGCAUUCUGAUACAUAAUACUAAUUUAAUCACAUACAUAUCAAUUAGAUCAACAAAUGAAUCAACAACAGCCUCUUAUUUGAACUCUAAAACUCUCAUUUGUAUUCCUUAUACAAAUGAAAUUGAAAAAACAGAUUGAUUAACAUUAUUUGAAAAAAUCAUAAAGUUCAUAACGAACUUAAAAUCAUUGUGCAUAUCAAAAUGACUAGUAUUGUAGACACCGAUUUUGUCCGGGUCUACUGUUUUAAUAAUAAUAAUAAUAUUUUUAAUAAAAAAAUUAUUAAUAAACAAAACAAAAAAAAAAAAACAAACAAAAGAAACAGAAUAAGACAGAAAUCAGGGAGUUGGUACGGCGCCGCUGUCGCCAGCCUCCGACCAGCCACCCUACAGCCACCAACCAACUACCCUACAGCCACCUAGAUCCCCCUAAUUUAAGCCUUUAAAAAUCUCCAGCCACUUCCCCUUCAAGAAGGAGGAAGCUGGCUGGAAUCCCCAUUCAACCUUGCUCUAAAAAUUCCCUUUUCUGAAACCUCUCCCUCGAAUCCCUCCUUUUCCGAAAUCUCUCUCGAACGCAUAGGAACCCGUUCACUUCAUCCCUACCAAAAAUCACCAAACGAGCUACCCCUCCCUCAAAACACUCCCAAACACCCAAAAUACCCAA
RNAcentral lists this long non-coding RNA (16332 nucleotides) under Durio zibethinus. RNAcentral describes it as "long non-coding RNA (DZIB_LNC001795)". Lineage: Eukaryota; Viridiplantae; Streptophyta; Magnoliopsida; Malvales; Malvaceae. The record is from RNAcentral.